GAGUACGGCCGCAAGGCUAAAACUCAAAGGAAUUGACGGGGACCCGCACAAGCGGSGGAGCAUGCGGAUUAAUUCGAUGCAACGCGAAGAACCUUACCAAGGCUUGACAUAUACGAGAACGGGCCAGAAAUGGUCAACUCUUUGGACACUCRUAAACAGGUGGUGCAUGGUUGUCGUCAGCUCGUGUCGUGAGAUGUUGGGUUAAGUCCCGCAACGAGCGCAACCCUCGUUCUAUGUUGCCAGCACGUAAUGGUGGGAACUCAUGGGAUACUGCCGGGGUCAACUCGGAGGAAGGUGGGGAUGACGUCAAAUCWUCAUGCCCCUUAUGUCUUGGGCUUCACGCAUGCUACAAUGGCCGGUACAAAGGGCUGCAAUACCGUAAGGUGGAGCGAAUCCCAAAAAGCCGGUCCCAGUUCGGAUUGAGGUCUGCAACUCGACCUCAUGAAGUCGGAGUCGCUAGUAAUCGC
RNAcentral lists this ribosomal RNA (467 nucleotides) under Microbacterium sp. RNAcentral's name for it is "bacterial SSU rRNA". It matches the Rfam family "Bacterial small subunit ribosomal RNA", at positions 878 to 1345 of the family's 1533-position model. Lineage: Bacteria; Bacillati; Actinomycetota; Actinomycetes; Micrococcales; Microbacteriaceae. The record is from RNAcentral.